Molecule: long non-coding RNA, 510 nt
Filed under: Lupinus angustifolius (narrow-leaved blue lupine)
Lineage: Eukaryota; Viridiplantae; Streptophyta; Magnoliopsida; Fabales; Fabaceae
Description: long non-coding RNA (LANG_LNC002093)
Source: RNAcentral
AAAGGCAACAAAAAAUCCUUUUUUCUUUCUCCUCCCUCUUUUCUUCAUACCUUUCUCCUUCCUCUUUUCUUCAUACCUUUCUCCUUCUUCCUCCAUGGAAAAUCGGCUACAUCACUCAAAUCUUUUGUGUUAUUCACUUCAAAUGCAGCUUCAAUCGCUAAAAUUCAUCUUCAAUCACUGAAAUUCGCUUCAUUCAUUCAAAUCCCUCCAAAUACAUAUUUUCGUUCAAAUCCCUAAAUUCAACUUCAUUUUUUCACUCACUCACUUUCUCUGUUAACGUAUCUCUGUAUGAACGUUUUUCUCUCUUUCUUAGUUAUUAUUCUCACUCACUCACUCAUUAUCUUUAUCUUAGUUCAUAUAUAUAUCUAUGCAUGUAUUGAUGUUUUGCUUCUUGUGAUUUUGAAUUUCAGAACCUUAACUUCAACGGAGAAUAUGAACUCGUGCUUCGCUUAAUUUAGCGUUAUUCAGGUUAGCGUUUUCACAAUAUAUAUGACAAUAUAUAUGCUCAUC